AACGAACGCUGGCGGCGUGCUUAACACAUGCAAGUCGAACGCGAACGGUUUCUUCGGAAACCUAGUAGAGUGGCGCACGGGUGAGUAACGCGUAAAUAAUCUACCCUGAUGUCUGGGAUAACCAGCCGAAAGGCUGACUAAUACCGGCUAUAUGCUACCCUGUUGGGGGUAUCAGGAAAGGUGGCCUCUUCUUGAAAGCUAUCGCAUUGGGAUGAGUUUGCGUACCAUUAGCUAGUUGGUGGGGUAAUGGCCUACCAAGGCAUCGAUGGUUAGCGGGUCUGAGAGGAUGAUCCGUCACACUGGCACUGGAACACGGGCCAGACUCCUACGGGAGGCAGCAGUGAGGAAUAUUGCGCAAUGGGGGCAACCCUGACGCAGCGACGCCGCGUGAGUGAGGAAGGCCUUCGGGUCGUAAAGCUCUGUCAGUAGGGAAGAAAUGCAUAUUGGUUAAUACCCCUUAUGUUUGACGGUACCUACAAAGGAAGCACCGGCUAACUCCGUGCCAGCAGCCGCGGUAAUACGGAGGGUGCAAGCGUUGUUCGGAAUCACUGGGCGUAAAGGGAGCGCAGGCGGUUUGUCAAGUCAGAUGUGAAAGCCCACGGCUCAACCGUGGAAGUGCAUUUGAAACUGGCAGACUUGAGUAUCAGAGGGGAAAGUGGAAUUCCCGGUGUAGAGGUGAAAUUCGUAGAUAUCGGGAGGAAUACCGGUGGCGAAGGCGACUUUCUGGCUGAAUACUGACGCUGAGGCUCGAAAGCGUGGGGAGCAAACAGGAUUAGAUACCCUGGUAGUCCACGCCGUAAACGAUGUGCACUAGAUGUAGGAGGUAUUGAUCCCUUUGUGUCGCAGUUAACGCAUUCAGUUGACCGCCUGGGGAGUACGGUCGCAAUAUUAACACUCAAAAGGAAUUGACGGGGGCCCGCACAAGCGGUGGAGUAUGUGGUUUAAUUCGAUGCAACGCGAAGAACCUUACCUGGUCUUGACAUCCCGAGAAUCUCCUGGAAACAGGAGAGUGCUUUCAUUAGAGAGAACUUGGUGACAGGUGCUGCAUGGCUGUCGUCAGCUCGUGUCGUGAGAUGUUGGGUUAAGUCCCGCAACGAGCGCAACCCUCGCCUUUAGUUGCCAUCAGGUUAUGCUGGGCACUCUAGAGGGACUGCCGGUGUUAAACCGGAGGAAGGUGGGGAUGACGUCAAGUCCUCAUGGCCUUUAUGACCAGGGCUACACACGUACUACAAUGGCAUGUACAAAGGGCAGCGAGCACGCAAGUGUCAGCGAAUCCCAUAAAGCAUGUCCCAGUCCGGAUAAGAGUCUGCAACUCGACUCUUUGAAGUUGGAAUCGCUAGUAAUCGUGGAUCAGCAUGCCACGGUGAAUACGUUCCCGGGCCUUGUACACACCGCCCGUCACACCACGGGAGUUGGUUGUUCCAGAAGCAGUUGAGCUAACCUUCGGGAGGCAGGCUGCCAAGGAAUGGCUGGUAACUGGGGUG
Molecule: ribosomal RNA, 1484 nt
Filed under: uncultured prokaryote
Description: partial 16S ribosomal RNA
Rfam family: Bacterial small subunit ribosomal RNA
Source: RNAcentral